Molecule: ribosomal RNA, 414 nt
Filed under: Sphaerotermes sphaerothorax
Lineage: Eukaryota; Metazoa; Arthropoda; Insecta; Blattodea; Termitidae
Description: partial 12S ribosomal RNA
Source: RNAcentral
CCCUAUUAUUUUGGAACGUUAAGUUAUUUAGUGCCUGAGUAGUACUAGUUAUGUUCUUGAAACUUAAAGAAUUUGGCGGUAUCUUAUUCCGUCCAGAGGAAUCUGUCUCGUUAUCGAUAGUCCGCGUUGGACCUUACUUGGUUUAUAUAUGGUUUGUAUACCGCCGUUUAUUGAUUAUCUUUUUAGGGUUGUAAAAUUUUCUGGUCUCUUGAGUUUGGUUAAUUUCAGGUCAAGGUGCAGCUUAUUUCUAAGUGGAUGAUGGAUUACAUUGUUAUUUGUUUUGAAUUGUUGAUUGGAAUGAUUGGCAUGAAAUUGGAUUUGGUUGUAAUGUUUUGGAGAUUGUUUUCAUGAUAAUUGGUUCUGAGAUAUGUACACAUCGCCCGUCGCUCUCGUUUGUUGUUAAUGAGAUAAGUC